GAGUUUGAUCCUGGCUCAGAACGAACGCUGGCGGCAUGCCUAACACAUGCAAGUCGAACGCGUGUAGCAAUACACGAGUGGCGGACGGGUGAGUAACGCGUGGGAACCUGCCCAGUGGUAGGGAAUAACUGCGGGAAACUGCAGCUAAUACCCUAUGAGCCCUACGGGGGAAAGAUUUAUCGCCAUUGGAGGGGCCCGCGUCGGAUUAGCUAGUUGGUAGGGUAAUGGCCUACCAAGGCGACGAUCCGUAGCUGGUCUGAGAGGAUGAUCAGCCACACUGGGACUGAGAUACGGCCCAGACUCCUACGGGAGGCAGCAGUGGGGAAUAUUGGACAAUGGGGGAAACCCUGAUCCAGCAAUGCCGCGUGAGUGAAGAAGGCCUUAGGGUUGUAAAGCUCUUUCGGCGGGGACGAUGAUGACGGUACCCGCAGAAGAAGCCCCGGCUAACUUCGUGCCAGCCGCCGCCGU
RNAcentral lists this ribosomal RNA (468 nucleotides) under uncultured Alphaproteobacteria bacterium. RNAcentral describes it as "bacterial SSU rRNA". It matches the Rfam family "Bacterial small subunit ribosomal RNA", at positions 9 to 521 of the family's 1533-position model. The record is from RNAcentral. Lineage: Bacteria; Pseudomonadati; Pseudomonadota; Alphaproteobacteria.